AACAGAGAAAGACUCUGUCUCACAAUGAAACAAAACAAAAAAGAAAUACAGUGGUAAACAAAACAGACAAAAUGCCUGCUCUAAUUACCUUGUACAGAACUGUACAGUCUACUGCAGGAGAAAGACAAUAGAGAAAACAAGUAAGUCAAGUAUGAGAUAGGUUAAUGUGCCAAGAACCAGAGAAAAACAAAGCAGGUAAGAGGGAUGGAUGCAAUUUUCAACAGCCUCAGCAGGGAUGGCUUCUCUAGACAGUAACAUCUGAGCAUGAGACUUUCUGGGGAAGAGUAUUCCAGAAGGAAGACCAGAGCAAAGGCACUGAGGAAUGAACAUGACUAUUGUGCUCCAGGAACCACUGAUUGGCAGGGGUUCUGGGAUGGGAGAGGUAUAGGAGAUGAUGUCAAAGAGGUGAGCUAUGUGCCUGGUGGAAGGGCCAGUAGUGUAGGGUCCUGUAGGUAGCAGUAAGGACUUCAGCUAAUACUGUGAAAGGGCUGAGAGGCCAUUGGAAGACUCUGAGCUGAGACUCAUUCUCGCCGAUGUCUGAAGAUGGACUGUGGAGGGAUGAGAGUGAAAGCCAGAAGACCUAUGAAAGGGCUGAGUUGUAUCCUCUCAAAAUUCCUGUGUUGAAGCCCUAACCUCCAGUACCUCAACAUGUGACCAUAUUUGGAGAUAGGGUCCUUAAAGAGGAAGUUGAGUUAAAAUUAGGCCAUUAGGAUGGGCCGUAAUUCUAUAUGAUGGUGUCUCUAUAGGAAAAGAAAACCAAGAUCCAAAUAUGUAUAUAACAGAGGGAAGGCCACGUGGAGACACAGGGAGAAGACAGCCAUCCAUGAGCCGAGAAGAGACCUGAGAAGAAACCACCCAGCUGACACCUUGAUCUUGGACUUCCAGCCUCCAGAGUUGUAAGGCCAUGGAGAUACAUCUAUGAACAAAGAAGACAGAAAAUCCUACCAGAAUUGACUGAAAAGUUGAGUGAGGGGCAGGAAAGAAAAAGAGGUGGCAAAGGUAGCAACAACUAUGUUCUGCUCCGGAAAGCAUAAGCCACAGCCCCCACCACAGUGCUUGGCAAUGCGGUUGCUGUUUAAUACCUGCUGACUGAGUGGAAGGAAGACAAAACAAUUACCUGACUCAAAGAGAAGCAAAAGAAUGCUGCCUUCAAGCUGAGGGGAAGACUGAACUGUCCGUUUCUUUCUGCUCUAAAGUGUCCUCUGGAGAGGACGCUGGCGGAGCUGGUGCUCUCGUGGUGGCAGGCCACCACCCUGUGGAGGUGUCCAUGCAUUGCAAGUGCUCGCAAGCUCCAGGAACAAACGCAUCCGCGCAGCCGUCUGGGGUUUGUCCCGUCGCUGCCAGCCCUCUCGCUGAGUCCCCGCCCUCGCCGAUAAGAGCCCACUUAGGACCCCCAUUACAUGGAUGGCUUCCCAGGACCUGCCCUUAAAGACUCCGAUUUAGUAGGUUGGAAAUGACGCAAUUAUUUUUAUUUUUAAUUAGUACCCCAAGUCAUUCUUUACCAUCAAGGAAGUUUGGGAAACAGAUCACUUUUGUUUCAAUCA
Molecule: long non-coding RNA, 1544 nt
Filed under: Homo sapiens (human)
Lineage: Eukaryota; Metazoa; Chordata; Mammalia; Primates; Hominidae
Description: HSALNT0392499
Source: RNAcentral